This 253-nucleotide ribosomal RNA is filed under the name uncultured microorganism. Its description in RNAcentral is "partial 16S ribosomal RNA". It matches the Rfam family "Bacterial small subunit ribosomal RNA", at positions 524 to 776 of the family's 1533-position model. The record is from RNAcentral.
GACAGAGGUGGCGAGCGUUGCUCGGAUUUACUGGGCUUAAAGGGCGCGUAGGUGGCCUUGUAAGUCAAAGGUGGAAUUCCACAGCUCAACUGUGGAACUGCCUUUGAUACUGCAAGGCUUGAGUCAGGUAGAGGAGGGCGGAAUUCCCGGUGUAGCGGUGAAAUGCGUAGAUAUCGGGAGGAAGGCCGGUGGCGAAGGCGGCCCUCUGGGCCUGUACUGACGCUCAUGCACGAAAGCGUGGGGAGCAAACAGG